UACGAAGGGGGCUAGCGUUGUUCGGAAUUACUGGGCGUAAAGCGCUCGCAGGCGGAUCGAUAAGUCAGGGGUGAAAUCCCGGGGCUCAACCUCGGAAUUGCCUUUGAUACUGUCAAUCUCGAGUCCGGGAGAGGUGAGUGGAAUUCCUAGUGUAGAGGUGAAAUUCGUAGAUAUUAGGAAGAACACCAGUGGCGCAAGCGGCGCUCUGGGUCGAGCCUGACACUGAGACGUGAAGGCAUGGGGAGCGAACGGG
Molecule: ribosomal RNA, 253 nt
Filed under: uncultured bacterium
Lineage: Bacteria
Description: partial 16S ribosomal RNA
Rfam family: Bacterial small subunit ribosomal RNA
Source: RNAcentral